UGGAAGUAAAAGUCGUAACAAGGUUUCCGUAGGUGAACCUGCGGAAGGAUCAUUACUGAUUUGCUUAAUUGCACCACAUGUGUUUUUCUUUGAAACAAACUUGCUUUGGCGGUGGGCCCAGCCUGCCGCCAGAGGUCUAAACUUACAACCAAUUUUUUAUCAACUUGUCACACCAGAUUAUUACUUAAUAGUCAAAACUUUCAACAACGGAUCUCUUGGUUCUCGCAUCGAUGAAGAACGCAGCGAAAUGCGAUACGUAAUAUGAAUUGCAGAUAUUCGUGAAUCAUCGAAUCUUUGAACGCACAUUGCGCCCUCUGGUAUUCCGGAGGGCAUGCCUGUUUGAGCGUCGUUUCUCCCUCAAACCGCUGGGUUUGGUGUUGAGCAAUACGACUUGGGUUUGCUUGAAAGACGGUAGUGGUAAGGCGGGAUCGCUUUGACAAUGGCUUAGGUCUAACCAAAAACAUUGCUUGCGGCGGUAACGUCCACCACGUAUAUCUUCAAACUUUGACCUCAAAUCAGGUAGGACUACCCGCUGAACUUAAGCAUAUCAAUAAGCGGAGGA
This 562-nucleotide unclassified non-coding RNA is filed under the name Candida albicans. Its description in RNAcentral is "sequence contains 18S rRNA gene, ITS1, 5.8S rRNA gene, ITS2, 28S rRNA gene". The stretch from base 196 to 349 matches the Rfam family "5.8S ribosomal RNA". The record is from RNAcentral. Lineage: Eukaryota; Fungi; Ascomycota; Pichiomycetes; Serinales; Debaryomycetaceae.